UACGUAGGGUGCAAGCGUUGUCCGGAAUUAUUGGGCGUAAAGAGCUCGUAGGCGGUUUGUUGCGUCGGCUGUGAAAUCCCGAGGCUCAACCUCGGGUCUGCAGUCGAUACGAGCAAACUAGAGUGUUGCAGGGGGAGACUGGAAUUCCUGGUGUAGCGGUGAAAUGCGCAGAUAUCAGGAGGAACACCGGUGGCGAAGGCGGGUCUCUGGGCAACAACUGACGCUGGAGGAGCGAAAGCAU
This 241-nucleotide ribosomal RNA is filed under the name uncultured bacterium. RNAcentral's name for it is "partial 16S ribosomal RNA". It matches the Rfam family "Bacterial small subunit ribosomal RNA", at positions 524 to 762 of the family's 1533-position model. The record is from RNAcentral.